UAACAAGGAUUCCCCUAGUAACUGCGAGUGAAGCGGGAAAAGCUCAAAUUUGAAAUCUGGCGUGCCUCUGGUCGUCCGAGUUGUAGUCUGGAGAAGCGUCUUCCGUGCUGGACCGUGUACAAGUCCCUUGGAACAGGGCGUCAUAGAGGGUGAGAAUCCCGUCUUUGACACGGACUACCAGCGCUUUGUGAUGCGCUCUCAACGAGUCGAGUUGUUUGGGAAUGCAGCUCAAAAUGGGUGGUAAAUUCCAUCUAAAGCUAAAUAUAGGCGAGAGACCGAUAGCGAACAAGUACCGUGAGGGAAAGAUGAAAAGCACUUUGGAAAGAGAGUUAAACAGUACGUGAAAUUGCUGAAAGGGAAACGCUUGAAGUCAGUCGCGUCUGCCAGGACUCAGCCUCGCUUUUGCUUGGUGCACUUUCUGGUUGAUGGGCCAGCAUCGAUUUCGACCGUCAGAGAAAGUUGGAGGGAACGUGGCACCUUUCGGGGUGUGUUAUAGCCCUUCAUCGCAUGUGACGGUUGGGAUCGAGGAUCGCAGCACGCCCUAACGGGCUGGAGCUCUGCUCACACACGUGCUUAGGAUGCUGGCUUAAUGGCUUUAAGCGACCCGUCUUGAAACACGGACCAAGGAGUCUAACAUGCCUGCGAGUGUUUGGGUGGAAAACCCGAGCGCGUAAUGAAAGUGAUAGUUGAGACCUCUGUCAUGGAGGGCAUCGACGCCUGGACUUGAUCUACGGAGACGGUUCCACGGUAGAGCAUGUAUGUUGGGACCCGAAAGAUGGUGAACUAUGCCUGAAUAGGGUGAAGCCAGAGGAAACUCUGGUGGAAGCUCGUAGCGAUUCUGACGUGCAAAUCGAUCGUCAAAUUUGGGUAUAGGGGCGAAAGACUAAUCGAA
RNAcentral lists this ribosomal RNA (892 nucleotides) under Sarcodon sp. RNAcentral's name for it is "eukaryotic LSU rRNA". It matches the Rfam family "Eukaryotic large subunit ribosomal RNA", at positions 66 to 939 of the family's 3401-position model. Lineage: Eukaryota; Fungi; Basidiomycota; Agaricomycetes; Thelephorales; Thelephoraceae. The record is from RNAcentral.